Non-coding RNA from Ixodes scapularis (black-legged tick), 82 nucleotides. The record is from Rfam. Lineage: Eukaryota; Metazoa; Arthropoda; Arachnida; Ixodida; Ixodidae.
GCAGUCGUGGCCCAUUGGUUAAGGCGAUGGAUUAGAAAUCUAUUGGGGUCUCCCUGAACAGGUUCGAAUCCUGUCGACUGCG